Long non-coding RNA from Hippocampus comes (tiger tail seahorse), 1410 nucleotides. RefSeq lists it as uncharacterized. Lineage: Eukaryota; Metazoa; Chordata; Actinopteri; Syngnathiformes; Syngnathidae. The transcript is spliced from 2 exons. The record is from RefSeq and is a predicted model, not a curated record.
UCCCCAGGGGGGGUCCCCCGAAUGCUCCGGCUUCUUACCCCAUACAAAAAAACAAAACAAAAACGUGCAAUUGGGUCCCGAGAAGACUCUCUGUUGUGAAUUUACCAUUCAGCUCCUUGUCAGUGAAGAACCAAUUGGGCAAAAAGUCCUGAAACGGUGACUAGAUCGACAAAUUCAGAAGUUUCGAUUUAGUUGACCUUGAAGGGGUUAUAGUGCAGAUUAGAUGGAACUAGGAUUUACUGAAAGAAGUGUCCAGUAAGUGUAUGUGCAGUAUAUAGAUUAUGUCAGCAUGUUGUGUUGCUUUAUUACAUUAAGUGUUCCUCUGAGGAUGUCUGGGUGGAUCUUUCUUCUGACUGACGUCACAUGAUGAGUGCAUUGUUUGUACAUAACAAUAAUAGCGCAUGCAGUGACUUCUUGCGGCCGGCGUAAAUCAGGCGUGGUCUCCGGCUAAUGACAGAUAAUAACCUCGGCGAUCCCCACCACACGUCCCAAACCGAGCUCUCUACUCAUUUGGAAGUGAUCUGAGGCUUGAGGUAUGGCUAAAUAAAGGCAGCUGGCCACCAAGCAUAUGUGAGCUUUGGUCCCACUUAGGAGGCAGGAAACAACCGCUCUUCAAAAGUCUGAUUUUCUUUGCAGGGAUAACUUGCUGGAAAAGCUUCCAGAAGGUGAACAUUCCUUCUUCCCAUCCUGCUGUCAGUGUCAUCUCAGGCCUGCGUGGCUUCACUGCUUGUCUGGGCUUGCAGUAAGCAUAAGCCCUCCCCGUCACAUCGCCUCUACCUCAUGCUUGGCUAAGCCCCAUCUUGGACCUCUCACCGUUUAUUUUAAGUACCCCGGAGGGUGUUUUUUUUCCUGUUUGGAGCCCAGCUAUGCGGACCCAAAGAGGUGGUGUCACCGCGGAGGAUCAUCAUCAACAUUCAGGUCAUCCCAUUAGCUCCGACGCACUCCUUAUUUUGGCCACGCAGUCAGGGAUGCCCCGGCAUCACCUCUUGGAUUCAGCGAGUCAUUUGAGAUGCGUCAUGCUUGCGUCUGUCUUCUCCAGUCCAGGAUGUAUUACAGAGUACAGUAAUAUAGAUGUAUCUCCUAUGUAAAAACCCAUUAUUAUUAAAGGCAUAAACUCAUAACAUUCUGCUAAUACAAUAAUCAUUUAAUUUUAGGAUAAAAGUCCCCCCGCCUCUCAAUCAACUCCAAAGUGUUUUUUUGUUUUUGUUUUGUUUUUUUCGAACACAUUCAAAGAUAAGCUUUGGGUAUUGUGUUAACAUCUGUAGGAAUUGUGACAUCCACCCUUUUAAACUAUAUUCUUUUUCCCGGAAACUGCAACUUUCUCUUUGUGAUAACACGUUUUUGUAAGAGUACAAAUGUAUUAGAUUUUUUAAAAUGUACUUUUUCUUGUUAUAUUAAAAAAAUAUAUAU